CACGUAGGGCGCAAGCGUUGUCCGGAAUUAUUGGGCGUAAAGAGCUCGUAGGCGGUCUGUUGCGUCCGCUGUGAAAACUCGGGGCUUAACCCCGAGCCUGCAGUGGAUACGGGCAGACUAGAGGUAGGUAGGGGAGAAUGGAAUUCCCGGUGUAGCGGUGAAAUGCGCAGAUAUCGGGAGGAACACCAGUGGCGAAGGCGACUACCUGGCCUGUAACUGACGCUGAGACGCGAAAGCGUGGGGAGCAAACCGG
RNAcentral lists this ribosomal RNA (253 nucleotides) under uncultured bacterium. Its description in RNAcentral is "partial 16S ribosomal RNA". It matches the Rfam family "Bacterial small subunit ribosomal RNA", at positions 524 to 776 of the family's 1533-position model. The record is from RNAcentral.